Molecule: ribosomal RNA, 505 nt
Filed under: uncultured bacterium
Lineage: Bacteria
Description: partial 16S ribosomal RNA
Rfam family: Bacterial small subunit ribosomal RNA
Source: RNAcentral
GACGAACGCUGGCGGCGUGCCUAAUACAUGCAAGUAGAACGCACAGUUUAUACCGUAGCUUGCUACACCAUAAACUGUGAGUUGCGAACGGGUGAGUAACGCGUAGGUAACCUGCCUGGUAGCGGGGGAUAACUAUUGGAAACGAUAGCUAAUACCGCAUAAUAUUAAUUAUUGCAUGAUAAUUGAUUGAAAGAUGCAAUUGCAUCACUACCAGAUGGACCUGCGUUGUAUUAGCUAGUAGGUGAGGUAACGGCUCACCUAGGCGACGAUACAUAGCCGACCUGAGAGGGUGAUCGGCCACACUGGGACUGAGACACGGCCCAGACUCCUACGGGAGGCAGCAGUAGGGAAUCUUCGGCAAUGGACGAGAGUCUGACCGAGCAACGCCGCGUGAGUGAAGAAGGUUUUCGGAUCGUAAAGCUCUGUUGUAAGAGAAGAGCGGGUGUGAGAGUGGAAAGUUCACACUGUGACGGUAUCUUACCAGAAAGGGACGGCUAACUACGUG